GUCAGCCACGGUACGACAUGGAGU
RNAcentral lists this microRNA (24 nucleotides) under Ananas comosus (pineapple). RNAcentral describes it as "microRNA s0335_c11a". Lineage: Eukaryota; Viridiplantae; Streptophyta; Magnoliopsida; Poales; Bromeliaceae. The record is from RNAcentral.